AGUGAACGCUGGCGGCAGGCCUAACACAUGCAAGUCGAGCGGCAGCGCAGUAACAACCCUGGCUUCCAGCGGCCGACGGGUGAGGGAUUCAUGAGAAUCUGCCUAUUUGUGGGUGAGAGCGUGGUGAAACUUACGCUCAUACCCCAUAAGUCCUACCGGAGAACGGGGGGAAGCGCAGGACCUCACGCCCAAACAUGAGCGGACGACCGAUUAGCUAGUUGGUGGGGUAAAGGCCCACCAAGGCGACGAUCGGUAGCUGGUCUGAGAGGAUGAUCAGCCACACUGGAACUGAGACACGGCCCAGACUCCUACGGGAGGCAGCAGUGGGGAAUAUUGGACAAUGGGCGCAAGCCUGAUCCAGCCAUGCCGCGUGUGUGAAGAAGGCCUUCGGGUUGUAAAGCCCUUUUGUUGGGAAAGAAAUGCCUGGGGCUAAUACCUCCGGGUGAUGACGGUACCGAAAGAAUAAGCACCGGCUAACUUCGUG
RNAcentral lists this ribosomal RNA (484 nucleotides) under uncultured bacterium. RNAcentral describes it as "partial 16S ribosomal RNA". It matches the Rfam family "Bacterial small subunit ribosomal RNA", at positions 29 to 507 of the family's 1533-position model. The record is from RNAcentral.